RNAcentral lists this transfer RNA (71 nucleotides) under Stegodyphus mimosarum. It matches the Rfam family "tRNA". From Rfam's summary of the family: Transfer RNA (tRNA) molecules are approximately 80 nucleotides in length. Their secondary structure includes four short double-helical elements and three loops (D, anti-codon, and T loops). The record is from Rfam by way of RNAcentral. Lineage: Eukaryota; Metazoa; Arthropoda; Arachnida; Araneae; Eresidae.
GCCUUCGUAGUGUAACGGCAGCACACUCGACUCGUAUUUGAGAGGUCCAGGUUCGAGUCCCGGCGAGGGCA